UAACGAAUCUUCCGCAAUGCACGAAAGUGUGACGGAGCGACGCCGCGUGUAGGACGAAGCCCUUCGGGGUGUAAACUACUGUCAGGGGUUAGAAAGUUCUGAUCAACCCCAGAGGAAGAGACGGCUAACUCUGUGCCAGCAGCCGCGGUAAGACAGAGGUCCCGAGCGUUAGGCGGAAUCACUGGGCUUAAAGCGUGUGUAGGCGGAUCGUUAAGUGCCUUGUGAAAUCCCACGGCUUAACCGUGGAACUGCUCGACAUACUGGCGAUCUUGAGCAACCUAGGGGCAACCGGAACAAAUGGUGGAGCGGUGAAAUGCGUAGAUAUCAUUUGGAACGCCAAUGGUGAAAACAGCUUGCUGGGGGUGUGCUGACGCUGAGACACGAAAGCCAGGGGAGCGAACGGGAUUAGAUACCCCCGUAGUCC
Molecule: ribosomal RNA, 424 nt
Filed under: uncultured bacterium
Lineage: Bacteria
Description: bacterial SSU rRNA
Rfam family: Bacterial small subunit ribosomal RNA
Source: RNAcentral